RNAcentral lists this long non-coding RNA (495 nucleotides) under Mytilus galloprovincialis (Mediterranean mussel). Lineage: Eukaryota; Metazoa; Mollusca; Bivalvia; Mytilida; Mytilidae. The record is from RNAcentral.
AUCAGUUUAGUAAUGACUAGUAUAUUAUAUCCCUUUCGAACACGCAAGACAGAGAUGUAUAUUAUACACCUGAUAGUUCAAAAUGGAAAGUUAUAAGUAAUCGGCCGUGUACACUGAUCAAUACCCUCAGAAGUGAAACGAUGCAUGAACUUGCAAGCCCGACAGGAAAUCGCUUGAAUACCUGGACGUGUCAACUAACACCCCUCACAUUACCUUUGGGAGUAAUACCUUUAGCCAUGCUAGUGAUCAGAUGAGGGAAGAUCCGUAUUUAUUUGAAUAAAAUUUAUUAUUUAAAAGAAUUAAACAAAUUAGAUCUUCGAAAACAAUUUUAACGGAAGACUUAUUUAUGAUUUGAACUUUGACUUUUAAACUAAUUCCAAUAUUAGCAGUUUAAAAAUAACAGACCAUGGUUAUUUAAAAAAAAAUAUAAGAACAUUUUCCGUAUCAAGUUAGUUAGUCGGACAAAACAACCGUACGAUUGACAAGAUAUCGACA